This is a long non-coding RNA of Passer domesticus (house sparrow), 253 nucleotides long. RefSeq lists it as uncharacterized. NCBI's taxonomy places the organism in Eukaryota, Metazoa, Chordata, Aves, Passeriformes, Passeridae. The transcript is spliced from 3 exons. The record is from RefSeq and is a predicted model, not a curated record.
GAAGCUUUGUGUUUAGUUGCAGGAUGCACCUCUUAGGCAGAAUAACUGACCACAGUUGGGGUCCAAACUCUUCAGAAAGGAGUUAAUCAGAACAGUGUCUUGGAACCUUGGGAUAUUUUAGAAGAAAAAGACCAUUCAUGCAAGAAGGAGACUGGACAGGAGCUGGUUGUUGGAUGGAAAAAUCAUUAAGAGCAAAUAAUUACCCAGCAGCACCCAAUGAAGGUGGUUCCUUGCAAAGUAUUUGUAAUGUAAG